GGUAGAGGGGCACGGGCGUCAGCCAAGGAAAACUCUGCGUGCACUUUAAUCACGUUGUUGGGGCGUAAAUCUGUUCAUAACGUCACAUCAUGGAGACUGGGCUCGUGCUUAGAGGGGGGAAAAAACCCUGCACCCCGCAGGGUGAUCUUAUGGUUCAGACUUGCGCCUGGGUUCAUGUAAGGUUCUGGGUACGGCACGUUGUGGUUAUGGUUAUAAAGGUUGACGCCGGCGGCCAUUCUGCAUUUUUCUAACUGUCGUGUGCUCAACUCAAACAGGAGUGGGUUGUACAUUUGUUGAGGCAUGUUUUUUAAAUGAUGACUCAAUAAACUACAGUCUCCACGUUCAUGUUCAUGAAGGUCACCCGAAUCACUGAUGGGUUUUUAAUAGUUUGUGACAACUACGGCAGAGAGAACAAAGUUAAAUAUUGUUGUCGCCGCAAUACAAAGAUGGAUUUUUCUUCAAACUGUGGGGGUAGAUUUGGGGGUCCAACAAACAAAAUGUCCAUGAUAUCGCCACAAACGAUACGAAGAAUGGAGAGAAAAUCCAAAGCUUACAUUGAUCAAAAAAUGAUUCCCCAUCAUGUGAUGUCAUGAGGAAGUGACUAAGUUUGAAAAUGACGUCAUGCAUAGUUUUAAAAAAAUGCAGGUAUCUCUGCAUCCCAUAGAAUUAUACACACGACCUGAACCUUAUAUAGACUGAAAAAAAAUUGAUAAUCAUAUGGUAGGAAUGAUGAUGUCACCAUGAUGUCAGAAAAUUAUGUCACAGAGUAGUGACGCAUUAACUUUUGCAAGAUUAGAGACAGAUCUACAGUUUGCGGAUUAACCAUUAACCAACCUUCAUAUGGUAUGAAUGAUGUCAUCAUGAAAUGAAGCUAUUACAAUAUAAAGAAGUUAACAUCAACCUCCGUGAGGUCUGCAGCCUCUCCACUUAAAAGAUUUCCUAAACUAUGAUUUGACCUAAAAUUACUUCUGAAUCCCUGAACAUCUUCAUCUCAUGCUUUUUUUUCUUCUCCUCUCUGUCUAUAAUUUAUCUCUGUGUCUAUAAUUUUUCUCUCCCUCUCUGUAUGUUUAUCCUUUCCCACCUCUGUUAAAGUUUCAGCCACCUGACUGUAACAAUGACAAACCCCUGAACCUACCACGCUGCUGCUGCUGCUGCUGCCGCCGCCGCCGGAGAUCUGGUGGUGUAAAAAUAGAGCACAGAGAGGUGACAUCAUGUCCUGCGUACAAGAGGAAAAUCACAUACACACACACACACACACGUUUAAAACACAUGGAAGGAAGAGAAAGAGGCGGAGAGGGGGGGAAUCCAGUGAGAAAGAGAGAGAGAGAAAGAGAAGGAAAAAAAUCCGCCGUGGCAAACAUGACCAGACAAACUGUAAAUAUUAUUUUGUCUGCAUGUACCAACCAUCUGUGUGAUUGUCCGUGUGUGUGUGUGUGUGUGUGUGUUGGCAUGAGCUUAUCGCCGAAGAAUGUAGUGGAAAACUGAGAAACAGGAAGUCUCCAUCAGAGUGGUGAAGUUGGCACCGUCCAGACACACACACAGUGAAUUCUUUAAUAUACCGGCCAUCAAAAAGUUUACAUUAACGUGUCAUUCAUGCCGUGGGAUCCACAUCGCCACACAGACCUUGGCUGAACUUCUGCAGGCGCGACCUCUGUGCAAACUUGACUUUUUGAAAACUCUUUAAUCACAGACUCUUGGUUUUGCAGCCAGAAGAUUAACUUUACUCUCUUGAUUGGACUUCCUGGUGGUUUAAAACACAGAUUGGAGUCGGAAGAGUGAAUGUACAAAGUGUUCAUACGUAAUGUUCAUCGUGAUCCUGAGGUGCAAUCAACAUCUGUUGAUCUGUUAAAAAAUGUCCCUUCAGCUCGUCUGUUUCCUCCCACUGAUUCACUGAUGUAGAUUUACAGUUGGAAAUACAGUUAAGGGUCCCUCGUUGUUUAAAAUGUCAAGGCGACAUGAUGUGAUUGUUGGGGAAAGAAAUGACCUUCAAUUUAUUGAAGUUUAAAUAGCAUAAUGGAUGAGAGUGCACGGCGAACUACCGUAGAAAAGCUGGUGUAAGACGUGUGAUGAUUCUCUGUCGAGAGCAACACCUUCCACAUCACACGUGGUCAUUUGAUCCCUUGUUGUAUAAAAAUCAUUACUUUAGAGCAGUUUUUAAAGGCCACCGCCCCUCAACCCUGCGAGGCGUUCCAACCCCGACUCCCAACACUUGCUCAAAUCGAAAAAUAAAUACAAAUCAGUGUUUGAAACUGAGCAGUGAGUUCAGCCGAACAAUUUUUCACUCCACAUCGGCCCACAAGAGAAAAGAUAAUUGUUUUAUUUGGCUUUGCUGAGCCACAUUCCUGCCGCUGGAGCGAAGCCAACACGAGACAUCUGAGUCCGUUAGAGAGGCAGUUUUGAAGAAACCCCAGCAUCACAUCUGUCCCACGACAGGACAGAUGUGAUGGUUUUACCAGAAGCCCUGUUACUCGCUUUUCUCGAGUUACACACACACUGUUCCUAAACGAGCCUCCGUCCUCCCGUUCUCGUCCCUCGGUUCUCAGCAGCUGACAAAACUAAAACCCCUCGGCAGCCGUGUAUGACCAAUUUCCAUUUUCCAUGAAUAUCCAUGACCUAUUUAGUGUGUGUGUGUGUGUGUGUCCCAAUAGUCCCAAAUAAUUACCGAAGAUCCCAAAAUAACAGUAAAGUCUAAACUUAAAAUGAUCUUAUGGGACAUUUAAGCCUUCAGCGCCAUCUGUUUACUUCCAGACGGAUCCAAUGUGCCUAGAUAAAUCAACCUCACAUUCCCUUUAACAAAAUAUGAAUACAUAUAUUUAUCUUUUAGGGGAACAAGCACCAAUUUAACCGUUAAACCACGGGCUACAUGAACUCACAGAUGGGUAACAAAUGGAAGGGGAAAAAAACAUUACAUCUCUGCUCAAGUUCUGAUUUUUCAAUAUUUGUUGCCCACAUGUCACAUAUUGAUUGACAACUGUGAGCGGUGGCCUCUGACUCUGGCCUUCUCUGAUUGGUUAACAGGGCACAGCUCAUCAGAGAGUACCACCAGUGCUCAUCUACAGGGAGCUUAUCCUUGGCUGCAAUUCACCUAGAGGGUAUAGCUCUCGAUGAAUUAGAAUGAGUAGAAUAUUAUCAUAUCCUAACAUAUCUGUUUUGUAUGAUCAUCCCAUUGAUCAGACAGCCAGUCCUGUUCCUUACAGCUCUUUAUUUGGCUUAGCUUCCUUCUGUGCACGUAACACAAAGCAGCACAAAGGCCUUUUGUUCCUGUUAAUUUCACAAUCACCAAUCAAAGUCAACACACCCGAACACAUCGCGGCACGUUCGAAUGGCCCCCGCAGGUCAAAGAUAAAACACUGCCAAGCCCAUCAGCUAAUAUCAGCCUGUAUUUCACCACCACAUCACUCAGAGUGCUAAAAACUGCACAAGUCCAUUAAAAUUUUCCAUUUAAAAGAAACGUAACUACAAAAAGUUACGAGUUCACCACUGGGGAUCGGUGAAGAGGCAAAACACGGUGUGCCAGCAGCAUCCCAUUUACAAUUCAAAUCACGAAAGGCAAAAAAAAACCGUGAUGUGGACGCAGUCAAAGUGCAUAAAGUUUUAUGAGCCUGUGAUGUAUUUUUAUGGGAGUGAGCUCAUGGGGAUUUUUUUUUUUUUGACUCAAACUCCCUUCAGCCACCAGCGAAAGGUCAGUCACACAUGUGGCUCUUGGUUUUACUCCCUGUCUGUUGUGUGUUUCUGCGUGUGGGUUGGUUUUGCACCGUUACAGAUUACUGUAGCACUUCCAUAUGAUUGUAAUGAAAACCUGCAGCACUCACCAGCCAAUAUCCAAACAUUUUAGGUGAAAGUAGUACUUCACAGUGUCAAGCAUGUUGUUUCCCUCCAGAAACCUUACUGGAAAAUAUCUCCUUUCCCCCUUUUUUCUGUAGUGCUGUGUUCUUUACUUUAGCAGUUUAUGAAUUAUAACAACUUUCUUGCUACAAAACUCAAAACUCCUAACGCCCAAAACUCGGAGGAAUGACGUCAAUCGCACAAAACACAUGGAUCUUGGAGUUAUUUCAUGCCUGGCAGAUGAUCCAAAAUGUGCAUUACUUGCAUGGAUGUGAGCACACACACACACACACACACGAACACACACACAGAAGGACAAUGAAAAGUAGCAGUACAGGGAUUUUAAUUGACCUCUGUGAUGCAUUUUUUUCUUUCUUUUGCCUCAGCAGUUCCAUCAUCUGGAGAAAAAGAAGAAGAAGAAAGAAAGAAAGAAAAAAAGGAAACUUCCUAACUGGAAACAGAUUUCAGGAGCAGUCCAGACUUCCACAAGUCAGCAUGUAACUGUAGCUCACACACACACACACAGAAAUACAGCCAACGCCCCGUGGACAACUUAAAGUUGAAGGAGGUUUGGCUGUAGCGUCAGGAGGAGCAGCGGACCUCCGCGGACUUCUUACCGGGGUCAGAGUUGAUGUCUGCGGCCGAGGAGGAGCGUCUCUCUGGAGGCUGCGCGACUCCGCUUCACCGGGACCUUCGCGCGUUAUAAACGCUGCUCUGCGUCAAGCCCGCGACAAGGCUCCGACCGGAAGAAGAGUAGGCCCCCUUCAAAACAAAAUAUCACGCUUAAAAUGAAGUGGACUGCAGCUGCCAUCAAAAUAAAAGUCGUUAGUACUACGUCUCAUAAUCGCCAUUACAUUCGCUGUUUACAUGUAGCGUCACCGUCACUACAGCUAACCGUGUUAGCAAGGCUAGCAAGCUACCUGUUAGCUUUACCGAGCCACAUUAAAAGAUAUAUACCGGUACAUAUAUUUCCCAAUGUAUUUGUAUUGACAACAGCUAUAUAAAUAUACUUACUUUCACAAUGUUGAUAAAGAAGUUAUCAGUUUUGUUGGCGUAUUAAUAAUGGACGGCAACCGCUAUGACUGUGGGCGGGCCCUCAAACGGUGAUAGGUCAAUACUUGGAUGGAUGACGGGCGAAUCUUGUUAGUGAUGCGAGCGCUGAUUGGUCCAUCCUGUCAGAUUCUUGGUUACCAGCAAACACCUGGCUUCUCAGGCAGAUAGGAGUACAGACUUUUUUCUUCCUUUCAUAAAAAAAGGGGCAAACAUGUUGAA
Scophthalmus maximus (turbot) is the source of this 5097-nucleotide long non-coding RNA. RefSeq lists it as uncharacterized. The transcript has 2 exons. The record is from RefSeq and is a predicted model, not a curated record. Lineage: Eukaryota; Metazoa; Chordata; Actinopteri; Pleuronectiformes; Scophthalmidae.